Molecule: ribosomal RNA, 225 nt
Filed under: uncultured bacterium
Lineage: Bacteria
Description: partial 16S ribosomal RNA
Rfam family: Bacterial small subunit ribosomal RNA
Source: RNAcentral
GGGAGUAAUGUCUGGGAAACUGCCCGAUGGAGGGGGAUAACUACUGGAAACGGUAGCUAAUACCGCAUAACGUCGCAAGACCAAAGAGGGGGACCUUCGGGCCUCUUGCCAUCGGAUGUGCCCAGAUGGGAUUAGCUAGUAGGUGGGGUAACGGCUCACCUAGGCGACGAUCCCUAGCUGGUCUGAGAGGAUGACCAGCCACACUGGAACUGAGACACGGUCCAG